RNAcentral lists this ribosomal RNA (170 nucleotides) under Cronobacter malonaticus. RNAcentral's name for it is "partial 16S ribosomal RNA". It matches the Rfam family "Bacterial small subunit ribosomal RNA", at positions 1 to 164 of the family's 1533-position model. Lineage: Bacteria; Pseudomonadati; Pseudomonadota; Gammaproteobacteria; Enterobacterales; Enterobacteriaceae. The record is from RNAcentral.
UAAUUGAAGAGUUUGAUCAUGGCUCAGAUUGAACGCUGGCGGCAGGCCUAACACAUGCAAGUCGAACGGUAACAGGGAGCAGCUUGCUGCUUCGCUGACGAGUGGCGGACGGGUGAGUAAUGUCUGGGAAACUGCCUGAUGGAGGGGGAUAACUACUGGAAACGGUAGCU